UUGGUCUUGAUCCAAUUCAAUUUGUGACCACUUUCUUUUCAUAUCUCGUCAUUAUUUUGCUCAAAUCAUCAUCGCCACGGUUUUUGUUAGAUCCGCGUUUGGUUUAGGGUAUUUCUAUUCCAACGAGACUUAGGUUUGUGCAGGGUACUAGUCCAAUUCGUUCUUGAGAGGGGGAAACCCCAUCUUUGAAUCGGCCAGAAAUUGAUUGAUUUUUUUGGCAUUACUAGAAUUUCUUCCAAUUGACUGGGCGUGGUUAUUGUUUGGUGAAUCGCAUCAAGUAAUACUGAAUUUUGUUUGCUACAUCCUCUGAUGUCACUUGUUUGGCGAGGACUUGGAAUGUUCUCCCCUUAACCUGAGUAGACAUAUUGGUGCUGAUCUUGCCCUGGUUCAUCUGCUUCAACGGCUCGCGCUUUGCUACCGACGUCUUCGAGAGGAACCUCUUUCAGCCAUGUGAAGGCGCGGAUUAUGGAAGGCGGAAACUAUGGCUUGGGAAUUGGCAUGCCCUCCUCCUAAGCCUGCAGUGACAAACACAGAAGCAACGAAAUCUGCUCGUUCAGAAAUCUGAAUGUGGUUCCGUGUUGAAAAUAGUUCCAAUAUGUAAGACGCUUAAAGUUAUGAUUGUUUUUUGUUCUUGUACUGUAUGUAGUCAUAGAUCUGAUCGUACGAUAUCACAUUCUGAGUUUCUGUAAAAUCAUUUUCUCAGUGUAAAAUAUAUCAACCCUCACCUCUUCUCA
Long non-coding RNA from Phragmites australis (common reed), 734 nucleotides. RefSeq lists it as uncharacterized. The transcript has 2 exons. The record is from RefSeq and is a predicted model, not a curated record. Lineage: Eukaryota; Viridiplantae; Streptophyta; Magnoliopsida; Poales; Poaceae.